GUGGGGAAUUUUGGACAAUGGGCGCAAGCCUGAUCCAGCCAUUCCGCGUGCAGGAUGAAGGCCUUCGGGUUGUAAACUGCUUUUGUACGGAACGAAAAGCCUCUGGUUAAUACCCGGGGGUCAUGACGGUACCGUAAGAAUAAGCACCGGCUAACUACGUGCCAGCAGCCGCGGUAAUACGUAGGGUGCGAGCGUUAAUCGGAAUUACUGGGCGUAAAGCGUGCGCAGGCGGUGAUGUAAGACAGUUGUGAAAUCCCCGGGCACAACCUGGGAACUGCAUUUGUGACUGUAUAGCUAGAGUACGGUAGAGGGGGAUGGAAUUCCGCGUGUAGCAGUGAAAUGCGUAGAUAUGCGGAGGAACACCGAUGGCGAAGGCAAUCCCCUGGACCUGUACUGACGCUCAUGCACGAAAGCGUGGGGAGCAAACAGGAUUAGAAACCCGAGUAGUCC
RNAcentral lists this ribosomal RNA (450 nucleotides) under uncultured bacterium. Its description in RNAcentral is "partial 16S ribosomal RNA". It matches the Rfam family "Bacterial small subunit ribosomal RNA", at positions 354 to 796 of the family's 1533-position model. The record is from RNAcentral.